AAGUCGUAACAAGGUUUCCGUAGGUGAACCUGCGGAAGGAUCAUUAACACAAUUUUGAUUCAAAUCUCUUUGCUUCGCUGUCUUUUUUUUCUAGAUGCAAGAAAUUGCAGCUAGAGAAGGAGCAACAAGCAAUUAACCCACUUUCUAUGACGAAAAAUCUUUACAAAAGAAUGGAAGAAAAAGGAAUGUGUUUCGUCACAAUCCGUUUCAACCGUUUUUUCCUUUACCCAAUUUUUUUUACCCCUUUUACAACCUGUAAUAGACUGAAAACAAAAAUCAUAUUCUAGAUCUCUAGAAUCUAAAACUAAGAAAACAACUCUUAGCAACGGAUAUCUAGGUUCUC
RNAcentral lists this unclassified non-coding RNA (343 nucleotides) under fungal sp. RNAcentral describes it as "partial internal transcribed spacer region". The stretch from base 1 to 46 matches the Rfam family "Eukaryotic small subunit ribosomal RNA", at positions 1786 to 1831 of the family's 1831-position model. The record is from RNAcentral. Lineage: Eukaryota; Fungi.